UGCAUUCACUACUGUAAGUCGCUCUGUAUAAGAGGGUCUGCUAAAUGACUUAAA
Molecule: non-coding RNA, 54 nt
Organism: Salmo salar (Atlantic salmon)
Lineage: Eukaryota; Metazoa; Chordata; Actinopteri; Salmoniformes; Salmonidae
Source: Rfam